GGCUUUGGUGGUUAAAGGGAAAAACCGCGCCGGGCCAAGUGCGGCGAAGGGACGUCUCUCGCCCAAGUUCAGAGGAUCACAACUUGUAUGAAGGCCCAGAAUUUCUAACAGCACGCUUGAUCUGCAGCCUGCAGCGCCUGAACCAAUGUUCACAGAUGAUGCUGAUGUUUUCAGCGAUGGUGACUAUAAGAAUAUUAUGCAGACAAGAAACAGAGCAGCAGGGUUCCGAGUGGAUGGUUUUCCUCCAUAAACACUGUCUACAUAUGGAACGGUACAGCAUAUAUGAAA
Molecule: long non-coding RNA, 288 nt
Organism: Xiphias gladius (swordfish)
Lineage: Eukaryota; Metazoa; Chordata; Actinopteri; Istiophoriformes; Xiphiidae
Exons: 3
Source: RefSeq, a predicted model, not a curated record